This is a long non-coding RNA of Sycon ciliatum, 3655 nucleotides long. RefSeq lists it as uncharacterized. Lineage: Eukaryota; Metazoa; Porifera; Calcarea; Leucosolenida; Sycettidae. The record is from RefSeq and is a predicted model, not a curated record. The transcript is spliced from 3 exons.
UCGUUCACAUCAUGUAUCAGGUCAUAACGACUGCGCAUGGAUGAACGUACCGUAUUGUUAGGUGACUAGCCGGUACAGCAUACAGCAUACAGCAGAUCGUCGACUUGCCACGCGGAAGGGGUCAGGCCCCACAUAACAGGACCAGGAUCAGCCAGCAGCGAAGAGCAGUUGUCCAUUCUCAAUUUUGAAUUGGGAAACCACUUGAAGCUCUUCAGCGGAGAUGCAUAUGCGGCAAUACAACCGGUGGCAUGGGUGUUUGGUCGCCAAGACCAGGCAGCAGUAAAUCGCGACGCCGUCCUCCGUGGAUCUUCUGCACUGCAGUCCAGCGCCUGGUAAACGUGGCAGCAAGCUUAUGUAGGCAACACUUGACAGGAACGAUCGGCACCGCUGAGGGUAACCGCCACAUUCACUAUCUGCCACUCGGUGUUGAAGUUCUUCAGUCAGUUCAGGCAUGCAGGUCAAAAUGAGCUCAUGGAAUUGUACAUAUGACAUAAUGGACUAUGACCAGGAAAUGGGCUACACAUAGCAACAUACCAGUGUUGUUGACACGAGCUUGGAAGGUUCACCAGCCCGGCUGCACGGAGAGUACUAUAAGACAGAUAUGUCAAUGAGUGACCUAUCCGAAUCCGAUGAUCACUACUGAGUCACAGCAGCAGUGAUUGUAACAGAGGUGCAGUGAGUAAUUGUUGCCCAGAAGCAUAAGCAGAAACAGCAGCAGCAGCAGCAGCAGUAGUAGUGACAACACGAAAGUGGAAGCAGUGGAGAAGAGAGGGAGGCAGUGGUGGCAACAGCAGCAGCAGCAGCACUGAGUAGCCUGUAUGUAUGUAGUGCUGGCAGCGGCAGUGACCCAGCAGCAGAGGCAGGAAUAGCUAGUGACAGGAGCAGCCACCGUGAGCAAGGAUUGCAUCAGCAGCAUCGGCAUAGCAGCAAGACCAGCCGAAGCAACCACAGCAGCAGCCGUCGCCCCAGCAGGAGCAGCCAAAGCAGCCGAAUCACCAGCUGAAGGAACAGCAGUGUUGACACAAAGCAUAGUGUGCCGCAGUGGAACGGAUGUGAAUGACCGGUCAUGGAUAAUGAAGAAUGACUGACUGUGCGCAUGACUAACCGGCUUUCUUCAGAUACUUGUACCUAGAAACUGCCUACACACUCUACCAAGUGUUGUCAGGAUCCUCAGUUCACUUAAACGUUGCAUGAUGCAUGGUCGUAUACUGCCUUACCGGCAGGUCCAGCCAUGGCUGGAACAUAUUUCAGGAAAACGUUGCAAAACAGCGUUUUUUUGUCAAUAAUGUUCAAUUCCGGACAAGUAUCCCAUUGGGCCGGACCACCCGAAGUACCGGUGCUGCGGCCCCCGCGAUGUACACCAACACAGAAGAUCAGACUUACAGUGUCCUGGAGUGUGCACUGUUUCAGCCUCAGGCAUACCUCAGCCGGUGCACCAACACUAGUGUACAGCAGUGCGUGCAUCGGUUCGACAUCGCCAGUUUUGGCGUACAAUUAUGUAUACCGUCUGCAGUAGCUGCACAGGUGAAAAAUAGACAGGGAGCAGGGGGGGGAUACAUGUACAUGUACUACUGCACUUGUACUCAAUGACAAUACAAUACAAUACAAUACAAUGAUUGUAUUCAUGUUACUUUGUACAGCACACAAAUGUAACAACAAACACAAGGGAGUAGUAGGGAGGUAGCCUGGUGAUGCGAGAUCAGCCACAGCCACCUCCACCUUGGGUCUCCGGUCAAUGGUCUCGACCCGUUGGCACUUGUCUACGCACUCAGUCGGGACAUCUUUUUGAGUGUGGUUAUCAUGAGUCUUUCCUUCCAUCAGGACCACAAUCUCGUAGAAGGACGUUUUCUUUUCUGCAGGGAGCUGUUCGCAAACGAAACCUGGUUUGAGUGCGACUCCCCGGUUCUCUCCUUUCACUGAGCAGCCACACUUGUUUCACUGAGACGGGUAAAAGAGUGCUCACCUGGGCCUUGUCAGGUACUAUCAAGUUGGCCCAUUAGGUUGGAAAUUCUCAACCGCCGUAUCCUCCGCCUGAUAUUUAGAACUAGCCGCUACAUUUCUAACUCGGACUUGUACAAAAUUGCAACCUGUGCCCCCCCUGCAGAGUUAUCUCGAUGUUAUAAUGUGCUGUCUUGUGCACGCAAUUUACCUUGGCAUAUCCCCCCCCCCCCCCACACCUACAGCAACUUAAUUGGUUUGUUUCGAACUCCCCCACACGUAGUAAAGUCCGUCUCCCCCGAGCUACUACAUCUCUGUUUGUAUCUUCCCCCUUUUUCAGCUCUUAUACUAAAUGGCUGGCGUUGCCCCUUCAUGCCCGUCAGGCAAAGUCGCUUCCCUCGUUUCGCAAUCUUGCAAAGCAGCAUUUCAACAUUCCCAUUCAAUAGUCAAUAUACCUGUUUAGUCUCGGUCGUCUCACGUCGGUUGUACUGCUCCCCUUCCUCUAUUACUUACCAUGGUAUUGGUGCACCACCACACUUCUUAUACUUUCUUUCUACGCCAUGGCUGGCAAACGUCCCCUCCUCAUCUAUAUUGGCACUGAUUCAUCUUUAGCCACUGGAAGGUGUAAUAAUAAUAAUAAUGUGGGCAGUGCUGGACUGUGUUGAUUUCCCUAUACUUUCUCGUACAGUACAUUUUCUAAUGUAUGUGAAUGAUAUCCGGGUGCAAUUCUCAACACCUCGCUAUAUGCGGACGACACCACUCUGCUGGCUAGUCACCGGUCGCUCCCCGUCGCGUGUCAAGACCUGCAGGUAGGAAUAGACUGUGUGGUCAAGUGGAUGCGAAGGUGGAAACUCCGCCCGAACUCCGCCAACACCGAGAUCAUGUGUGUCGUCCCCAACGCGUCAUCAGAUGUUGCACAUCUUCAAACUUUUAUUUUCCAUUUCCCCGAUGAUCCUACCCCGAUACCUAUAACCUCUCGUCACAAGCACCUUGGCGUUACACUUGAUAGCAAAUUGGACUGGUCCCACCAUUUCCAGAAUCUGGAAAAGCGGGCAAGCUCAGUCGUCGGUAUUCUUUAUGGCCAUCUCCCCCACAUUUCACCAGAAUGCCGAAAGACCUUUUAUCAUACAUACGUUUUGCCUAUUUUCUUGUAUUGCUGUGUGGUGUGGUGUGGCGCUAGUAAUGGCCUCUUUGCAAAGCUGGAGAUUGUCACUGAUUGUGCAUCGACGGAUUCUCCGGGCAAUACUUCGUUUGCCGCCCGAGACCAACAUAGCCGUUCUCUAUGAAAAUUGCUUUACAUUUCCUCUGAAACAUUACAUUUUUAGUGACCGAUCCUCCUGCGUAUACAUUCACAAAAUCAAACUUAUCACUGCCCCUCAGCAUGUGCAGCAUUCCUUAAUUAAACUGGUUCAAUGAAUCCUCAACAAGCCGGAACUCGCUUCGUUUCCCGAUUGCAAGAAACAAUUCCAUGAGCAAAUCGCCUGUAUUCAUGGUAUUCCUAGCAUACCAAUUAUGGGAUUCUCUUCCUCAGCAAUUAAAGUCCAGCAACACCCUCAAUGCGUUUUUAAGCUUGAUAAAUGUACACGUACGUCGAUCUUCAUUUACUAAUCAUUGAUUUUCAUUCUCUUUGUGUAUUACUUCAAGCUCCAAAGUAAAUCACAUAUGCUACCUGUACAAUUCAUUUGGGUUUUGGAUUGAUUUUUAUAAUUGAUUUUGG